AUAUAAUACAAAGCGGUUUCAGCCAUGCAAAACACACAAAUGGAUGAGGACAGGGCAAUGGCUAGGGAAGAAGCAACAGGACGAGAAGUCAAGUACAGAGGCGUUCGAAGGCGGCCUUGGGGCAAAUUCGCUGCUGAGAUACGCGACUCCACACGCCAAGGAGCACGGGUUUGGUUGGGAACUUUUAACACGGCGGAGGAAGCAGCAAGAGCGUAUGAUCGAGCAGCUUAUGCAAUGAGAGGCCAGUUAGCCAUUCUUAAUUUUCCUAACGAGUACACUCUUGCAAGUGGUGGUUCUGGUAGCGUUACUGCUUCUUCUUCUUCCUCUUCACCGUCAAUGCAAAAAAAUGUUAUCGAGUUGGAGUACCUGGAUGAUAGAUUGCUGGAGGAGAUGCUUGACCAAGAAGAGCAAAAGAGCAAGAAAAAGUGAAUUAGCUACUCUAGCCCAGCUCCUUGGCGCUUAUCCUCCACUAUCAAUUCCAUUAUAGUUAGCACUCAAUCCCUACCUAUCAUUGAGUUUUCCUACAUUCCGAAAGAAGCAAACUUUGUUGAGGACUGUUUAGCAAAGCAGGGGUCAUCGCAGAUAGAGGAUUUUGUUGCCUACUUCUAAUUCUAUUGCUGCUCUAUCUCCAGCAUCACCUGGAAUUUAUCUGCUGUUUUGUUAGUGUGUCCUUGCUGUGAUGGUUUUGUCUUACCUUUAUUGCUUUAACUUUGUUGCCUUGGUUUCUGUUUUUUUCUUGGUCUUGGAUCAGUUUUGAGCUUCGGCUCUGUUUGCUUUGGUCUUGGUUUUUCUGUUUCGUAUGUUCAGGUUUUUUGGCUUAGCAUGAUGCAUUAAAAGUGAAGUGUAUUCCAAUUAAUUUAAAAAAAAAACAGAAACCAAGGCAACAAAGUU
RNAcentral lists this unclassified non-coding RNA (891 nucleotides) under Hevea brasiliensis (rubber tree). The record is from RNAcentral. Lineage: Eukaryota; Viridiplantae; Streptophyta; Magnoliopsida; Malpighiales; Euphorbiaceae.